UGUGCAAUGCUUCGGAAGGA
RNAcentral lists this small nuclear RNA (20 nucleotides) under Arabidopsis thaliana (thale cress). RNAcentral describes it as "snRNA_08620". The record is from RNAcentral. Lineage: Eukaryota; Viridiplantae; Streptophyta; Magnoliopsida; Brassicales; Brassicaceae.